This 270-nucleotide ribosomal RNA is filed under the name uncultured archaeon. RNAcentral describes it as "partial 16S ribosomal RNA". It matches the Rfam family "Archaeal small subunit ribosomal RNA", at positions 477 to 747 of the family's 1478-position model. The record is from RNAcentral.
CAGCACCUCAAGUGGUCAGGAUGAUUAUUGGGCCUAAAGCAUCCGUAGCCGGCUCUGUAAGUUUUCGGUUAGAUCUGUAUGCUCAACAUACAGGCUGCCGGGAAUACUGCAGAGCUAGGGAGUGGGAGAGGUAGACGGUACUCGGUAGGAAGGGGUAAAAUCCUUUGAUCUAUUGAUGACCACCUGUGGCGAAGGCGGUCUACCAGAACACGUCCGACGGUGAGGGAUGAAAGCUGGGGGAGCAAACCGGAUUAGAUACCCGAGUAGUCC